Molecule: transfer RNA, 71 nt
Filed under: Phrynosoma platyrhinos (Desert horned lizard)
Lineage: Eukaryota; Metazoa; Chordata; Lepidosauria; Squamata; Phrynosomatidae
Description: tRNA-OTHER
Source: RNAcentral
GCCAGCAUGGUGUAGUGGUUUGAGCACAGGCCUAUGACUCUGGAGACCAAGGUUCAAAUCCUGGUUUGGCG